RNAcentral lists this ribosomal RNA (468 nucleotides) under uncultured bacterium. Its description in RNAcentral is "partial 16S ribosomal RNA". It matches the Rfam family "Bacterial small subunit ribosomal RNA", at positions 28 to 507 of the family's 1533-position model. The record is from RNAcentral.
GACGAACGCUGGCGGCGUGCUUAACACAUGCAAGUCGAACGGAAAGGCCCUGCUUUUGUUGGGUGCUCGAGUGGCGAACGGGUGAGUAACACGUGAGUAACCUGCCCUUGACUUUGGGAUAACUUCAGGAAACUGGGGCUAAUACCCGAUAGGAGCUCCUGCUGCAUGGUGUGGGUUGGAGAGUUUCGGCGGUUGUGGAUGGUCUCGCGGCUUAUCCGCUUGUUGGUGGGGUAGUGGCUUACCAAGGCUUUGACGGGUAGCCGGCCUGAGAGGGUGACCGGCCACAAUGGGACUGAGAUACGGCCCAGACUCCUACGGGAGGCAGCAGUGGGGAAUAUUGCACAAUGGGCGGAAGCCUGAUGCAGCAACGCCGCGUGCGGGAUGACGGCCUUCGGGUUGUAAACCGCUUUCGCCUGUGACGAAGCGUGAGUGACGGUAAUGGGUAAAGAAGCACCGGCUAACUACGUG